Long non-coding RNA from Rhinopithecus roxellana (golden snub-nosed monkey), 3050 nucleotides. RefSeq lists it as uncharacterized. The record is from RefSeq and is a predicted model, not a curated record. Lineage: Eukaryota; Metazoa; Chordata; Mammalia; Primates; Cercopithecidae. The transcript is spliced from 6 exons.
CAGGAGAAUCACUUGAAUGAGCCAAGAUCACACCACUGCACUCCAGCCUGGGUGACAGAGGGAGACUCCAUCUCAAAAAAAUAAAUAAUAAAUAAAAUUUAGUUUUGAAGUUGAAUUUUAAGACCUUGUUACACCUUUUUAAAGAGAAAGAAGUUAUUAUCUAGGGCACAGUACAGAGAAACAAAAGAAUGGAAAAUAUGAGUGAUUAGGAUACAAGACGUAUGAAGGGUAGAGUGAGAUAACCUACCACAUGUUGGUUACUAACCAGAGUCCCAGAAGGAGGUGAGAGAGAAUAUAGCAAAAGCAGUAUGCAAGUAUUUGAAAAGACAAUGGCUGAUAAAAGACACCAGUCUACCAAUUUAGGAAUCUCAACAAUUCUCAAGCUGGGCAAAUAAGAAGAAAUCAUAUCGGUGUGAAAAUGCAGAACACCAAAACCAGAAAAGGCAGGUUACCUUCAAGGGUGAAAAACAACCAAACUUCCAGAUGAUUUAUCAGCCCCAACAGAAGGCAAACAGUGGUAGGAUUCCUUUCAUGUGCAUCACAAACUUUGUCAACUUAGAAGUGUAUAUUUUGCAAAACAAAAAAAUCUGUCAGGAAAAGGGAUAAAAUAAAGACUCAAACAAAACUGUGAGAAUUCGACAUCAAAACAUGUUUAUUAGAUAAAGAUCUAAAGGAUUAUUUCAGACAGAAGGAAAUUGAUCCCAGAUGGAUGCUGCGAUAUUAUGAAGAAAUAUAGGAAAGAAACUGGUAAAUAUUCUGGUUAGUCUAAACAAACAUUGACUCUAUAAAACAAUAACUUUUUUCUCUUUUUUUCCUGAAGGGUAUCAUGUCAGAUUAUAGUUAGUGACACACCACAUGUUGUAUAAUAGGUCUCGAGUUUAAAUUAUUGGUUUUUUCCGUUGUUGUUUUGGAGGUUUUUGCUGACACAAUACCUUUGGGAUAAGUACCACUGAGUCAGAAAGGAUAACAAUGUCUUUUCAAGGUUCUCCACUCCUUACUCUCUCCCUCGCAUAAAGAAGCCAUGGCAGAGGCACCUGAAGAAGAUCUUGGAUAGAGAGACCUGGGAAUGAAGGAGCCACGGCUGGGAAUGCAGGAACCUCUGAAACCACAUAACAAAAGCCUGAGGCAACCAUGGGGGCUGUGCUAAGAGCUCAUCUCAGACGUGUGGCCUAGAUCCUGCUGGAACUCAGGGUGGAUUUCGAGUCUCUGGGCUGGAGCCCCACUGUGUUGGGAGGAGCAGACUCUUGCCUUCUUGGACAGCACACUUGCAUGAAGCAAGCUGCCAUAUUGAAGAAGUCACAUGGCUAGGACCUGCGGGUGCCUCCAGCCAACAACGAACAGGGAAUCGGAGUCCUCAAUCCAACAACCACAGGGGUGAGGCACUGUUCUAAAAACAAGAGGCUGGAGCUCAAGGUGGACUUUCAGCGAUUCCCUGCUCCUCAUCCAGGGAGCUGCCAAUCAGGCAGGCAGAGUUUCACCAUGUUGCCCAGGUGGGUCUCAAACUCCUGAGCUCAAGCAAUCUUCCCACCUCGGUCUCUCAAAGUGCUGGGAUUACAGGCAUAAGCCACCACGCCCGGCCCUUCAAUUGUUAACCUAUAUUGAUCACCCACACUGCUCUCUGGCAUCGAUUUUUCCACUUCUCAGAAACACUUUGGCCCACAAAUUCCCAAGGGAACCUUGCUCUUCACUCUGGAAAACACGAUGCCAACAUAUCAGAAUAAAGGACAGAUAGGAGCUUCUGCUUCAAAGUGAAUCACUUCAUGGAUGUUAAAGUGUCCUGGAACAUUCUAAACUUCACAACUUUUGAGAGUAACUGUACUCUGUUUGCAAUAUAUUUGCAUAUAUUAAUUGUUAUAUCUGAAAAGCAUGAGAUUGUUGUUUUUAAAAUUAUAUGAAGUAAGUUAAUAUUUUAUUACUAGGUAUGAGAACUGCUAACGUGGACAACUGCUGAUGAGGACAUCCAUAGAAGUAGAAAAUUCUAAAUGUCCUACCGUCACCAAUAAGAAACUUUGACAGUCAAGUAGAUACAAUACAAUCACAUGGAAAACUGUAUAUAGUAUAUUGUAUGUGAAGAUCCCAUGAAAAGAACAGAGACUAUAGGAAAUAUAAUCAUCUAAGCUACAGGUAAGAAGAACAUCAAGAUUCUUUAAAGCAAUGGCUCUCAAAGUGGAAGCACCAGCAGCAUCAGCACCACGUGGAAGCUUAGGAAUGCAACUCUCCAGCCCCACCUCAGACCUACUGGCUCAACAACUGUGAGGGAGAGGAGGAGAAAAGUACCCCAUUGCAGUAGAGAUAAGUGGAUCUGAAACCCCAACGUCAGCUGAAGAGGUUCUUUAUGACCCCUGGAACCUGCACUCCAGUUGCCCUUGCACGUUUGUGGUUUAACGGUCCCAGAGACAAAUCUGCCACUUCUGGCUCGCAUCCAACCAAAGCGCAGGUGUUCAUCAUUAGGAGAUGUUGGCUGAUGUACAUAGACACGUAAGAAAGAUUCAAAGGGUCGUGGAUGGAUCACCAAUAACACCAGUAUAUGCAAGAUCAGAGGACAGUGUGUGAUCCAGGCCCUAGGACUGACAAAUGGGGACUCAGUCCCUGCUUGGGAUGGUGUUUUAUUUUGACUUUUUUCUGAAACAGCAGAGAAGUUUCCCAAAUAAUCACAAGGAGAUAAGAAAGUGUUUACACUUGUUUCAGUUGCUCUUCACUGCCUCCCUAUGACCAACACUCACAAUUCUAUGGUCUUAGCAGUUGCACUGAGAAGUCAGAAGAACCUGCUAUUGUGGGUUCAUAACCUUUUAUUACCUCUCACUGAUAAACAAUGUAUACUGCUAAACAAGACAUCAGUUAUGACGCUCAAGAUUUUAAGUGCUUUUUGAACUAAAAACAAACAAAAACAUUGUGACCUGCAUAAAAUGUAAAUGGUUUAUCUUCAAGUCAAAAGCCACAGGUUUGGCCGGGCGCGGUGGCUCAAGCCUGUAAUCCCAGCACUUUGGGAGGCCGAGACGGGCGGAUCACGAGGUCAGGAGAUCGAGACCAUCCUGGCUAACACGGUGAAA